RNAcentral lists this ribosomal RNA (498 nucleotides) under uncultured bacterium. RNAcentral's name for it is "partial 16S ribosomal RNA". It matches the Rfam family "Bacterial small subunit ribosomal RNA", at positions 30 to 523 of the family's 1533-position model. The record is from RNAcentral.
AUUGAACGCUGGCGGCAUGCCUUACACAUGCAAGUCGAACGGUAACAGGUCUUCGGAUGCUGACGAGUGGCGAACGGGUGAGUAAUACAUCGGAACGUGCCUAGUAGUGGGGGAUAACUACUCGAAAGAGUGGCUAAUACCGCAUGAGAUCUACGGAUGAAAGCAGGGGAUCGCAAGACCUUGUGCUACUAGAGCGGCCGAUGGCAGAUUAGGUAGUUGGUGGGAUAAAAGCUUACCAAGCCGACGAUCUGUAGCUGGUCUGAGAGGACGAUCAGCCAGACUGGGACUGAGACACGGCCCAGACUCCUACGGGGGGAAGCAGUGGGGAAUUUUGGACAAUGGGCGCAAGCCUGAUCCAGCAAUGCCGCGUGCAGGAUGAAGGCCUUCGGGUUGUAAACUGCUUCUGUACGGAACGAAAAGCCCCGGGUUAAUACCCUGGGGUCAUGACGGUACCGUAAGAAUAAGCACCGGCUAACUACGUGCCAGCAGCCGCCGCGG